Monodelphis domestica (gray short-tailed opossum) is the source of this 513-nucleotide long non-coding RNA. RefSeq lists it as uncharacterized. The record is from RefSeq and is a predicted model, not a curated record. NCBI's taxonomy places the organism in Eukaryota, Metazoa, Chordata, Mammalia, Didelphimorphia, Didelphidae.
UCCCAGGCAGAGCCCUCUAGAGAAAUGGAGUUGGAUCUGACUAGAGCUGAAGGACUCUUUUGAGAAGUGACACUGUGACCAUCAGAGUACUGUGCAUUCAUACACAUGCCUCAAGACUGCCCAUGAGGUUGGCAAAGAAGAUGGCCAAAUUAUGAAAGAGAACAGAUGAAAUGACACAGAGCUUUUUAUAAGCAAGAUGAAGAGCUGAGUGAUGGGCAACAUUUCUGCCUAAGAAACUCUGAGAAAAACAUUUGCACAAGGAUGGAAAAACAGCCUGACAGUAGCAAAGAAAAUUCUGAAGUUGCUUCAGACUCCUUUGACCAUGUGUCCACAUGAUGGAAAACAACUGGGUUGGGAAGGGUGAAUGUGUAACCCUUUGUUCUUAGGGUUCAUGAGGUCUAAUGAGCCAAAGGGUGGGAAAUUGUCUGUUUUGAAAGGUAGAUGCUGUGGGUUUGUAUGGCAUAUAAUUUGACAUGAUAUGCAUACACACAUAAAAUUGGCAUUUACAUAGUC